UACAGAGGUCUCGAGCGUUGUUCGGAUUCAUUGGGCGUAAAGGGUGCGUAGGCGGCGCCGUAAGUCGGGUGUGAAAUUUCGGAGCUUAACUCCGAGACUGCAUUCGAUACUGCGGUGCUUGAGGACUGGAGAGGAGACUGGAAUUCAUGGUGUAGCAGUGAAAUGCGUAGAGAUCAUGAGGAAGACCAGUGGCGAAGGCGGGUCUCUGGACAGUUCCUGACACUGAGGCACGAAGGCCAGGGGAGCAAGCGGG
Molecule: ribosomal RNA, 253 nt
Filed under: uncultured bacterium
Lineage: Bacteria
Description: partial 16S ribosomal RNA
Rfam family: Bacterial small subunit ribosomal RNA
Source: RNAcentral